RNAcentral lists this ribosomal RNA (112 nucleotides) under Caerostris darwini. The record is from RNAcentral. Lineage: Eukaryota; Metazoa; Arthropoda; Arachnida; Araneae; Araneidae.
AACGGCCGUACCAUGCUGAAUAUACCGGUUCUCGUUAGAUCACCGAAGUCAAGCAUCGUUGGGCGCGGUCAGUACUUAGAUGGGUUACCACCUGGGAACACCGCGUGCCGUU